RNAcentral lists this long non-coding RNA (335 nucleotides) under Sus scrofa (pig). RNAcentral describes it as "lncRNA (ENSSSCG00040018489.1)". Lineage: Eukaryota; Metazoa; Chordata; Mammalia; Artiodactyla; Suidae. The record is from RNAcentral.
AUUCUUGUCCUUUUUCUUUUCACAGGCAAGGGAUCCAAAUAGGUCAAAGGUCCAAAAAUGGAGUUUGAACCAAAAGCCCCUGCCUGCCAGAACUGAAUUCCACUGGGCAUAUGAUAUUACAUGAAUUUUAUCAGAAGAAAGAUAUCCAUUGAAAUCCUAUCACCGUGUACACAGGAACAGAGAACCCCAUUGCUCCUGGAAAGGUGAAGCGUCAAUCUGCACGGCAGCUCUGUAUCUUCUGUGUGGCUUCUGAAUGAGGUGGGCAGAGAGAUGGAUGGGCUCAUGCAUCAGCGUUAUCACGCAGGUGAGUCACGGCGAGUGAAGCAAGAGAGACG